CAGUCGCCACGGUAAUACGUAGGUGGCAAGCGUUGUCCGGAAUUAUUGGGCGUAAAGGGCUCGCAGGCGGUUUCUUAAGUCUGAUGUGAAAGCCCCCGGCUCAACCGGGGAGGGUCAUUGGAAACUGGGAAACUUGAGUGCAGAAGAGGAGAGUGGAAUUCCACGUGUAGCGGUGAAAUGCGUAGAGAUGUGGAGGAACAUCAGUGGCGAAGGCGACUCUCUGGUCUGUAACUGACGCUGAGGAGCGAAAGCGUGGGGAGCGAACAGGAUUAGAUACCCCAGUAGUCCCUGUCUCUUAUAA
Molecule: ribosomal RNA, 301 nt
Filed under: uncultured bacterium
Lineage: Bacteria
Description: partial 16S ribosomal RNA
Rfam family: Bacterial small subunit ribosomal RNA
Source: RNAcentral